Arabidopsis thaliana (thale cress) is the source of this 487-nucleotide long non-coding RNA. RefSeq annotates it as other RNA. The transcript has a single exon. NCBI's taxonomy places the organism in Eukaryota, Viridiplantae, Streptophyta, Magnoliopsida, Brassicales, Brassicaceae. The record is from RefSeq.
UCAUCUCUUACCAUCUCUCUCAUUACUCACUUGGUCAUAUUUGUAUCAAUCUUCACACGGCGAUUAAAAUGACGUCGUUUGUUUUGUGUAGACAAAUGUGUCUCUUCUUGGCUAUUUUCUCAUUUCUUGUACUUGUGUCUGAGGCUUCAAGAUUCCCUCAAGUCCACUGGGAACAAAUGCUACCAAAGAAGCUUCCUGUUCCUUCUUCUGCUCCUUCCAAAGGCACCAAUUCUGUCAGCAAAUUCUCUUCUACAUCUUCCCUAAAUACCAAUUCCUUCAGCUCCUUUACAUCUGAUGGAAAAGUUUAGGUUAAUUCUUUGAGAGAUCAUUCACACUGCUGACUUAUAUUGGGAGCGGAAACACGAAGGGGAAAGGACGGCAUAUGCUCUGUUUGCUUCCAUCACUUACUGACCUUACAAUACUAUCAAGUUAGCUCCAUUGGAAGUUGUUGUUAAGGAGAGAAAGUCAAAAAGAGAAGUCUCAUCGU